Molecule: RNA transcript, 1528 nt
Organism: Zalophus californianus (California sea lion)
Lineage: Eukaryota; Metazoa; Chordata; Mammalia; Carnivora; Otariidae
Gene: GSG1
Gene name: germ cell associated 1
Exons: 7
Source: RefSeq, a predicted model, not a curated record
CUGGUGUCCUGGCUGCAGGAUAUCCUUUUCCAUCUUCCCCAGCCCACCUCAUAGCACCUCACCCCUCUGCUGGCAAGAGGGGGCCUGAUUCAUCUUCCAACCAGAUACACAUUCCACGCAACGAGCCAAGACUGAGCAGAAGAGGAACUGAAACACCUUUGUCUCAGAGCUUGAAAAGUGAAUGAGCAAUCCCUCUCAACUGACUCAAAAUGUUUGUCUCACCCAGAAGAUGGAACUCCCGAAGGGCUCCUCUGGCCAACGGACAUUCCUAUCUGCCCUCCUCAACAUGCUAUCACUCAGCCUCUCCACAACAUCCCUGCUCAGCAACAGCUGGUUUGUGGGCACACAGAAGGUGCCCAAGCCCGUGUGCGGAAAAGGUCUGGCAACCGAGUGCUUGGACGUGCCGGUGCCCUUGGAUGGGAGCAGCACCAACGCAUCAUCCCAGGAGGUGGUGCAAUACAGCUGGGAGGCUGGGGAUGACACCUUCUCCUUCCAUUCCUUCUGGAGUGGCAUGUGGCUAUCCUGUGAGGAAACUGUGGAAGAACGAGGGGAGAGGUGCCGAACUUUCAAUGAACUCACACCACCAACCCAGAGAGGUGAGAAAGGACUACUGGAGUUUGCCACGUUGCAAGGCCCACGUCACCCCGCUCUCCGAUUUGGAGGGAAGCGGUUGAUGGAGAAGGCUUUCCUCCCCCACCCUCCCUUGGGGCUUGUGGCAAAGAUCCUAUGGUUAUCCCUGGGAGCCCACUUCUCGUCCAUCGGACUUGAAUUCGUCAGCUUCCUCUUGCUACUAACGGACCUGCUGUUCACCGGGAACCCGGGCUGUGGGCUCAAGCUGAGCGCCUUCGCUGCCCUUUCCUCCAUCCUGUCGGGCCUCCUGGGGAUGGUGGCCCAUAUGAUGUAUUCACAAGUCUUCCAGGCAACUGCCAACUUGGGUCCAGAAGACUGGAGGCCACAUGCUUGGAAUUAUGGCUGGGCCUUCUACACGGCCUGGCUUUCCUUCACCUGCUGCAUGGCAUCGGCGGUCACCACCUUAAACACAUACACCCAGCUGGUGCUGCAGUUCAAGUGCAAGCACAGUAGGAGCUUCAAAGGAAAGCUGAGUUGCCUGCCGCACCAUCACCAGUGCUUCCUUGAGCAGCCGUCCUGUGCAGCCCCCACGGGGUGUCCUCUGACCAGCUACCACCAGCGCCACCCUCAGCCCGUCCGCUCAGUCUCUGAAGGAGCUGACUUCUACUCGGGGCUACACCACAAGGGAUUUCAGCAAGAACCCAGCCAGAGGCUAAAGGAAGAGGUGGCUGGGUCAUCCGUAGAGGAAGAACUGUGUUAGAAGUAGUCAGAUUUAGAGGGCAGGCGGAACCCAACCUUCCAUGUUCAUUUGCUAUCAACAGGGAAAACAAACCAUGGCGAUGGCUAAGAAGAAUGAGAAUGACACACAAGUGUGUUUCCUAUACAUAGUAUUUAUUUGUUCUCCAACAAUUCACAUUUUAAAUAGUGCUUCCUGACAAUAUACCAGCUGGCUCUUCUG